UUAACACAUGCAAGUCGAGGGGCAGCAUUUUAGUUUGCUUGCAAACUGAAGAUGGCGACCGGCGCACGGGUGAGUAACACGUAUCCAACCUGCCGAUAACUCCGGAAUAGCCUUUCGAAAGAAAGAUUAAUACCGGAUAGCAUACGAAUAUCGCAUGAUAUUUUUAUUAAAGAAUUUCGGUUAUCGAUGGGGAUGCGUUCCAUUAGUUUGUUGGCGGGGUAACGGCCCACCAAGACAACGAUGGAUAGGGGUUCUGAGAGGAAGGUCCCCCACAUUGGAACUGAGACACGGUCCAAACUCCUACGGGAGGCAGCAGUGAGGAAUAUUGGUCAAUGGGCGAGAGCCUGAACCAGCCAAGUAGCGUGAAGGAUGAAGGCUCUAUGGGUCGUAAACUUCUUUUAUAUGGGAAUAAAGUUUUCCACGUGUGGAAUUUUGUAUGUACCAUGUGAAUAAGGAUCGGCUAACUCCGUGCCAGCAGCCGCGGUAAUACGGAGGAUCCGAGCGUUAUCCGGAUUUAUUGGGUUUAAAGGGAGCGUAGGUGGAUUGUUAAGUCAGUUGUGAAAGUUUGCGGCUCAACCGUAAAAUUGCAGUUGAAACUGGCAGUCUUGAGUACAGUAGAGGUGGGCGGAAUUCGUGGUGUAGCGGUGAAAUGCUUAGAUAUCACGAAGAACUCCGAUUGCGAAGGCAGCUCACUAGACUGUCACUGACACUGAUGCUCGAAAGUGUGGGUAUCAAACAGGAUUAGAUACCCUGGUAGUCCACACAGUAAACGAUGAAUACUCGCUGUUUGCGAUAUACAGUAAGCGGCCAAGCGAAAGCAUUAAGUAUUCCACCUGGGGAGUACGCCGGCAACGGUGAAACUCAAAGGAAUUGACGGGGGCCCGCACAAGCGGAGGAACAUGUGGUUUAAUUCGAUGAUACGCGAGGAACCUUACCCGGGCUUAAAUUGCAACAGAAUAUAUUGGAAACAGUAUAGCCGUAAGGCUGUUGUGAAGGUGCUGCAUGGUUGUCGUCAGCUCGUGCCGUGAGGUGUCGGCUUAAGUGCCAUAACGAGCGCAACCCUUAUCUUUAGUUACUAACAGGUGAUGCUGAGGACUCUAGAGAGACUGCCGUCGUAAGAUGUGAGGAAGGUGGGGAUGACGUCAAAUCAGCACGGCCCUUACGUCCGGGGCUACACACGUGUUACAAUGGGGGGUACAGAAGGCGGCUACCUGGUGACAGGAUGCUAAUCCCAAAAACCUCUCUCAGUUCGGAUCGAAGUCUGCAACCCGACUUCGUGAAGCUGGAUUCGCUAGUAAUCGCGCAUCAGCCAUGGCGCGGUGAAUACGUUCCCGGGCCUUGUACACACCGCCCGUCAAGCCAUGAAAGCCGGGGGUACCUGAAGUACGUAACCGCAAGGAGCGUCCUAGGGUAAAACUGGUAAUUGGGGCUAAGUCAUA
This 1439-nucleotide ribosomal RNA is filed under the name uncultured organism. Its description in RNAcentral is "SSU rRNA". It matches the Rfam family "Bacterial small subunit ribosomal RNA". The record is from RNAcentral.